UAGGGAAUCUUCCACAAUGGACGCAAGUCUGAUGGAGCAACGCCGCGUGAGUGAAGAAGGUUUUCGGACCGUAAAGCUCUGUUGUUGGUGAAGAAGGAUAGAGGUAGUAACUGGCCUUUAUUUGACGGUAAUCAACCAGAAAGUCACGGCUAACUACGUGCCAGCAGCCGCGGUAAUACGUAGGUGGCAAGCGUUGUCCGGAUUUAUUGGGCGUAAAGCGAGCGCAGGCGGAAGAAUAAGUCUGAUGUGAAAGCCCUCGGCUUAACCGAGGAAUUGCAUCGGAAACUGUUUUCUUGAGUGCAGAAGAGGAGAGUAGAACUCCAUGUGUAGCGGUGGAAUGCGUAGAUAUAUGGAAGAAUACCAGUGGCGAAGGCGGCUCUCUGGUCUGCAAACUGACGCUGAGGCUCGAAAAGCAUGGGUAGCGAACAGGAUUAGAUACCCUGGUAGUCCAUGCCGUAAAACGAUGAGUGCUAAGUGUUGGGAGGCUUCCGCCUCUCAGUGCUGCAGCUAACGCAUUAAGCACUCCGCCUGGGGGAGUACGACC
Molecule: ribosomal RNA, 544 nt
Filed under: uncultured bacterium
Lineage: Bacteria
Description: partial 16S ribosomal RNA
Rfam family: Bacterial small subunit ribosomal RNA
Source: RNAcentral